This is a long non-coding RNA of Diceros bicornis minor, 7285 nucleotides long. RefSeq lists it as uncharacterized. Lineage: Eukaryota; Metazoa; Chordata; Mammalia; Perissodactyla; Rhinocerotidae. The record is from RefSeq and is a predicted model, not a curated record. The transcript has 7 exons.
CCUGGUGUUUCUCUUUCUGGUUGAUUUGUAUCAUUUCCCUUCAGUCGAUGUGGAUGUUUUCUCUUUCCAGUCGAGCUGAUGUUUUUUCCCUCUUAAUAUUUGACCUAUUUGGAUCUGUUUGCAGACUAUCACCUUUACUAUCCUCUAUAUAAUAAAAUAUACCUUCAGUUCAUUUGUUUGGAGUGGAGAGUGUCUUUUACGUCUCCGAUCGAAUCCCCGAACCUCUCAUAACACCUUCUUGCCAGGCAGAAAGUUCUUUUCCGGUGCCUUCAAUUUGAGCUCCUUUAUUUGGUGCCGGUCCCCUAGAGAGAGCUUCAGGAAAUAACAUAGCCUCUGUUUCUGCCCCAUAUGAGCUUGGAGGAUUCUGAAAGCAUGACCCACUCUGAAGUUUAGAAAUGAAGGCCUGUUGUUUCACCUGGCUCUGGGUUUCUAGGUCUCCUCUUUUGAGGAUCGUGCUCUCUGUCUUUGAGCCAGAAUUGGACACAGAAUUGGUAACCUUCAAGAGCUGUGUUGGAGAGCCAACUGAACCAGCUGGACCAGACUUUAAAGGUUUCCUCUUGUGCACUGACCCUUUUGUGUGAAAGGAAUAGGAUCGUGGAUGGCUGAGCCAGUCCUCUCUGCACUGACCCCUGAGCCCCCUCCUAAGCGGCACUUGUGGGAGACUUGGGCAGAAAGGACCAAAAGGGGUCCCUUGUUUCUAUGAGAAACAUCCCUCUGGGGCCGGCCCGGUGGCGUAGCGGUUAAAUGCGUGCUCUCUGCUUCAGCAACGUGGGGCUUGCAGGUUCGCAUCCCGGGCGCACCCCGACACACUGCUUCUCAGGCCAUGCUAUGGCAGUGUCCUGUAUAAAGUAGAGGACGAUGGGCACAGAUGUUAGCCCAGGGCCAAUCUUCCUCAGCAAAGAAAAGAGGAGGAUUGGCAAUGGAUGUUAGCUCAGGGCUGAUCUUCCUCAUAAAAAAAAGAAAGAAAGAAACAUCCCUCUGUAGUUUUAAUGGGUCAUUCUGACGAAGUUGAGGGUGUGUGUUUGGUGGUAAUUUAGGUCAGUCUCUGGCUCCCAAGGACUUUACCUGACUCUCUUGAGCAGUUCACUGUUCCUCUGUCUUUGCUUACCCAUUAGGAGUGCUCUGCACCGAGGCGGCAGGUGAGAAGGGCUGGAGGAGCGAUCAAGCCCAGCCCUUGUGGAGCAGCUUGGCCACCAGCAGCCCUGGCCAGAUAGCUUCUUGCAGUUUGUCCACACUGUUGUCUUCUGCGUGGGUAGUCGUGAUUAUCAAUUACCAAGGUCCCGUUCAGUGCUUUUUGCAGCGCCUGCUCAGCCCGUUCUCUUUUUCAAAGGUGUGGGCAGCGAGGCCCCGGACGUUAUUCUACAGAUGGCGUAGCCCAUCAACUCCGUAGUUGAACGAACCGCUCUGUUGUUUGGCUGCCUUUCUCCUUGCCUCUCCACCACUGCUUCCUCCUUUGGAGUAUGCCUCAACCCACUCAGGGACAACUGCCCUUACUCAGCCUUCCAGCCCACCUGUGGUUCCUCAGGUCCCUUCCCCAAGGGCCUGGUGAGAGGACAGCCAGUGUUGGGCACUGGCCUGGGAAGCUGGUAGGCCUCUGUUUGGAUAGAAUGCAGCUGUCCUGGCCGUUGUGGAAGCUGUCCUCAGGGCCUGCGGAUCCUGGCACGUCCUGGGACAGUGCAGCUCCUCUCUCUGAGGAGGAGUUGGACCUAUUCCUUCUAAAGGCUUCAGCUGUAUCCUGUCACCGAGAACCACCUCCUUGGGUGUUCCCUGCCAGGCUGGGAAGCUAAACUGGGGCCCUCCUCCAGUGCCUUUGUAGGGCCUGGAAGUGCCAAGAGCCGCCCCACUGCCCAGCGUUGUCCACACUGGGAACACUCUCUUCUUCCUCCCUACCCAGCAUCUCCAUGGACUUUGUCUGUACUGCCAGGCUCUUGCUUGUGUCGUGUCAGAAGUUCUGUGUGUGACGCCCUUGCCUGUGCCAUGUUGUCCCAGAUUGCCCAGUGGCUGCUUCUUGUAGAUGUUUUGAUGCCCCUGAGCAUUUUUCUGUGCCUUUCGAUCCAAGAGGAGGAGCUACUUGCAGCAACUGGCUACCACAGUGUUAGAAGAGAGCUGGGCACUUGCUUGAGCUUGGCAGGGAGGAAAUGGCCCCUUGCCAUUUCAGACAUGUCAGGUUUCAGACAUGUAGGUCUUCUUCCUUGGCAGAUGAUUCCUGGCCUUCAUAACUCAUAGACUGGUGAUUAGCGUGUGACUCCAGUGCUGUCUCCUUGGGACUUUGGUCAAGGAAUCAAGCACGGGUCAGGACGUCUGCGUUUAUGAGUUGCCACCCAUGGCGGGGUGUUGGGCUCCAGGUCCUUCACCUUGCCAGCUCCUUCUGCCCCACCCUGGGAAAAUCAGCAAAGCCGAUGUCUGCUUCCUUGGAAAUGAGCAGAGUACUUCUCGAAUUGGAAAGUAUUUGCUGAUUCAGGCUCAGAAUAACAACAUCUCAAGGUGUGUGCGUGAGGGACAGUGGAGGAGCCAGCUUGCCUUAGGAGUACUCUUUGAGUUUUGUUUAAUUGUAACUUAUUAGAGCUGCUUUUCUGACCCCCCAGUGCCUCUCAGCUAAAGAUGUUGGGUUUCUUUCUGUCCUGCAGUAUUGCCUGGUGUUUUGGGCAUGCCCAUGGUACUCAUGCAGUGCCUUCUGCUCACCAGCAGAGGAGAACAGAUGCACCAAAGAGGUAAUCCCAUUUUCCUUACCGAGAGGCCUCUGACAACUGACUGACAUGUCUCAGAUUUAGGAUCCUGGCCUAGAAGAUAAAAUAAUUUCACUAGGGCCGAGUCCCAGAUCCCAGGUGCCUGUCAUAGCACCUGGUACUCAUCACACAUGUAGUGGGCACUUAUUAAAUAAUUAUUGAAUGUCAGUGACUUAACAUAGUUUUUUUGGGAACAUUGAGAUUUUUACCUUUACACCCACUAAAGCAUAAACUCCAAAAGGGCAAGGACUUAUUUUGUUUCCUGUUGUGUCUAGGACAGUACUUGGCACAGAGGAGAUGCUAAAUAAAUAUUUAUUGAAUGAACAAAUGAACAGACUUCUUUGCCCAUAUGCGUGCCAAGCCACAAAGAUGGUGUCCGUCAUUCUCUUUGAUGUAUGCAACAGACAUUUUUGAGUGCCUAUUAUGUGCCAGGCACAGUACUAGGCACUUGGGAAGUGAUGGUAAAAAACUGGAUUCAGUCCCUGUCACAUGUCUAUAGUUUACUGACAUAUGAGAGCUGGGCAUAAUACACAGAAUUAUUCCUUCCAUCUCUGCUGGGGUAGUGGGUCGUCACCAGAGUGUGAACGAUGCUCGGGGCUUCCCGUUGCUGUUUCGCUAUUUGUUCUCAGGAUGCCUGGUAGGUUUUGUAAACUCUCAGAAGGGGAGCUCUGGGAAUUCGAUGUUCAUUGUCCCAACUAUUUGGGAGGCUGGGCUAUGGUGGGGUCCCUGCUGGAGGGCAGGGGAAACAUGGGACUCCUGUCUCAUUUGUUUUAAUCUCUGAAAUUCAGUGUUUCCAGUAGCUGGUUAUGAGCUUCGCUUCCCUUUCUCUGCCUUUAGCACUCUGCAGUUUUGCUGUUGCCAAACAGGGUGCUGAGCCCGUAUGUCUGUCAGUCUGUGGAAGUUAGGUGUUUGUGGAUCUUGCAGGAAGGCCUCAGGUGGGGGCCCCUCCUGUUCUCAAACCAAUAUCAAGUCCUUUCCUCUGAAGGAAAUGUGAAGGAGGAAGAAGAGGGGUUUGGGAGGCUUCUGAGGUUCCCUGAGAGUGCAUGAGGUAGAAGUUCCUGCUGAGCAGGAGAGCUGCUGAGUUAAGUUGAUUUGCUUUGUCGUUUGUGUCAGUGGCAGCUAGCUACAGUGGCAGCAGUGGUGUGUGUCCAGGGGUCAAUAUCCCUGAGCUUUGAGCUCCCAGUCCCAGCAGAAGUUUUCUUUCUUAGCUUUGUCAGAUUUUGCAGUGUUAAUCUCAAAAACUGUGGUGUUGUCAUCUUAGUCGUUCCAUUUGAGGCGCUUGUGUGGGCCAGGUGCUGUGACAGAUGUUUCAGAUGUGGUCCUUGGCUGCCCCCCUGCCCCGAGUGUGUGGAGCUUAGUUGGGGAGAGAAGAUAGAUGCACAAAAAGAUUUUUAAAAUAUUAGAGAGCUGGUGGGUACUAAGAACAUGGUGCUAUACAAGGGUAAUCACUUAGGGAAGCAAGUCAUCACUGAGGAUUGGCUUUGUCCCUAAAGAAACUGGGUUUCAGAUUGGGCCUUGAAAAUUGGUUAAUUUUGAAGUCAACUUGAGCAUAUUGUAAAACAGUGAUUCUCAAACUUUUUGUCUUCAUGACCCCUUUACACUCUUAAAAAUUAUUAAGGACCCCAAGAACUUUUGUUUACCAUAUAAGAAAUUAAAACUGAGGAAUUUUUAAAAAUCACUAAUUUGUUAAUUCAUUUAAUGUAGUAAUAAUAAACCCACUACAUAUAUCAUAAAUGACAUUUUUAAUGAAAAAUAACUGUUUUUCAAAGAAAAAAGGUGAGAGGAGUGACAUUUUACAUUUUUGCUAAUCUCUUUUAAUGUCUGGUUUAAUAGAAGACAACUGGAUUCUCAUAGCUACUUCUGUGUUCAAUCUCUUGAAAUAUAUUGUUUUAUGUGAAGGAUAUGAAGAAAAUCUGGCUUCACACAGCUAUGUAAUUGAGAAAGAGAGGGGCAUUUUAGUAGCUUUUGCAGAUAAUUGUGGAUAUUCUUCUCUGAUACUAUACUAAAACUCAACAAGUUGUAGUUUCAUCUUAAAGGUUAGUUGGGAUGUGGAGUCUGAAAUUUUAUCAACAAACUUUUCAUACUUUGUGACAUUAAAAUGCAUUGUUCCAUCUUACGCUUUGAAUUGGUCAUUGGGAAAUAUUGGUUCACUGAGUUACAUAGAUCUAAACGUUGACAUUUCAUUUUACGACAUCAAUAAAUGAUAUUAAUAUCACCACUGCUCUCAUCAGAAAAUUCUUCAAGUACUGGGAAACUGUCAAGCUCACAGUGGUGGAUACAAGUUUUCCAUCAUUUGAAUUUUCUCUUAAAAGUUUGAUUUUUAUCAUUGGUAACAUACUGUCAGGUUUUUUUCUUGAAGUAACAGUUUCACUUCAUUCAUUUUCAAGAAAAAGUCUGUCAGAUAACCAAGUCUAAAUAGUUAUAAUUUGUCUGUUAGUCUUUUCUUUCAAGUAAAAAUGAUGUUUCGUGUAAAAAAGUAGCUAAUUUAGCUUGCAACUCAAACAAUCGCACAGAUGCUUCUUGAGACAAUCAUGUAACUCCUAUUUUGUUAAACAGAAUAUUUAAAAGAUGUGUACUCAGGGGUCAAGAUUUAAUAAAGUUAGUUUUUAUUGGUUCAUCUAGGAUAUUCUUAAGUGAAAUUGGUACUUUAUUAUCUGUCGUGGUUCUGUGGGUUGACUGGGCUCAGCUGGGCAGUUCUCACUUGGGGUGUCUCAUGUUGCUACAGUCCAAUGGAACCCAGGGCAGGAGUCAUCUGAAGGCUCAGCUGGGCUGGACAUCCACUCUGGCUCACUCACGUGGCUGGCCCUUGAUGCUGGCUAUUGACUUGGGUGCCUGCAUGUGGCCUCUCCAUGUGCCUUGGGUUUCUCACAGCAUGAUGGCUGGAUUCUGAGCAGAAACGUCCCAAGAGUGAGUAUACUGAGAGAACCAGGCAUAAAUGGCAAGAUUGCUUAUGACCUAGCCUUGGGAAUCACACAGUGUCACUUUGUUUGUAUUUUGUUUGUAUUUCCUGUUGGUCACAGGACCAGUUCAGAUUCAGGGAGAGGACUACACAAGGGUGUGAAUGCCAAGAAGCAUAGUUCAUUGGGAGGGAAAGAGGCCUCCUUGGAGACUAGCUACUUCUUUUUAGCAUCCCUUAUGUGAGGUAACCUGGCCUGAAUAUGAAUACUUCCAGGAGAAAAGUGCAUCUUUUCACAAUUUCCAUGCUGGAAAACCACUGUUAUUUAGGAAAUUCCUAGUAGUUUGACAGAGGCCAUUGGAUGCCAGGUGAGGGAACUUUUUUGUUGUUCUUGUUGAGGAAGACUGGCUCUGAGCUAACGUCUGUUGUUACUCUUCCUCUUUUUGCUUGAGAAAGAUUGUUCCUGAGCUAACAUCUGUGCCAAUCCUCCUCCAUUUUGUAUGAGGAAUGCUGCCACAGCAUGGUUUGACAAGCGGUGUGUAGGUCUGCACACGGGAUCCGAACCUGCGAACCCCAGGCAGCCGAAGCAGAGCGCGUGAACUUAACCACUACACCACUGGGCCGGCCUCCAGGUCAUGGCACCAGGAGCCCAGCCUCAGAAUGGGGAGUCUUCAUCUUCUGGUAAACAGUUUUGGCGUUCUGGGCAGUGCAUGGCAGCACCCCUUCUUUUUCUUUCGAGCCCAGUCUUCAAAGCCUAACUUCUACUCAGCCUUGUUGUCAUCUCAGCAGCUCUCCUGAGACCAUUACCAAAUUCUCCACAGCUAAUAGUGACACAGCUUUGAAAGGGCUCUCACAUGAGGAGGAGACCGAGGGAGAGACUCCCAGGUGUUACUGGAAAACCACCUCAUCCUUCAGUUCGUGUCUAUAUUAUUAUACUAAUAGAGUUGUGACCUCAGAGGCACAGAGUUCCUUGGCUACCACUCCGAUGGAAGUGCAGGUCAGCUUUGCUCUCCCAACAGCAGCAUUAGCCAAGCAGGCUGCCCUGCAUACACAGCAGUCUGCGGGCCCACUGUCUCCUCACAAACAGGCCAUCCUUGAAUUUGCUGGAACCCAGAGCUCUACUGAUCAUCCCUGUUUCCAAACAAGCAAGCAAGGUGGUGGUAAGGAUGGAUUACUCUGGAGGUAGGGACGUAGGACGAAGAACCCCAGUGCACACAGGAUGGCGAGGAUGGUAUGAAUCACCCAGGAAGUGGAACUGGAGCUCAGCCAGAUAAAACAACUUUAUUCUUAAUAAUUCAAACAAGGACUUUUUCCUGGAGCUGGGACUGAAGUUCACGUCUGCCACUCUGUUGCCUCAUAUGAUCAAAUGAUGUAGGGACAAAUUAAGAAGCACAUAGAAGCAUAUUAAGAAAGGCCUACAUGUCCAUUUCCUGUGAAGACGUUGGGCCUCUUUUUAAAGACACCCCAUGAGAGACUGACUCCCUGCAGAGUCUAGUGGUGACUCCAGCCUGGAUCAGAAGACUUCAAAGGACACAGAACCAAUGAGUCAGAAAUUAUAUUGUAGUUAUACAUCCAUUAUUCUCAUGUGAGCUGUUAGAUCAUGUUUUACCAGGAAUUUUUCUGAGACAUUUUUAUGAAUAAAUGGAAAGGUGUUUCUGACAGA